RNAcentral lists this long non-coding RNA (188 nucleotides) under Dasypus novemcinctus (nine-banded armadillo). RNAcentral describes it as "lncRNA (ENSDNOG00000052902.1)". The record is from RNAcentral. Lineage: Eukaryota; Metazoa; Chordata; Mammalia; Cingulata; Dasypodidae.
CGAUAAGAAAGCCGUUGCUGGAGUGAGAGAAGGGGGCUGGAUUGGGGUGCCCUGGUGCCCAGAAGUGCCAGCCUGUCUGCAGAAGCAGGUGCCUUUCUGUGAAGACUUCGUGGCUACCUCCUUCACUGUGGCAUUCCUGGAACCGGCAGGAACAUUGUGUUGGACUGUAUUGGCAGCUUUAUGAGCCA